Molecule: long non-coding RNA, 1406 nt
Organism: Canis lupus familiaris (dog)
Lineage: Eukaryota; Metazoa; Chordata; Mammalia; Carnivora; Canidae
Exons: 3
Source: RefSeq, a predicted model, not a curated record
GGGCCACCAGGUCACAGAGCUGCCGGGUCACAGAAGUGGGUGGCAGCCCAGGGCUGAAGCUGAGGAGGUCAUGCUUGCACCCAGCCACCGGCCACCACCGCAGUACAAGGCUCCAGCUCCGGUUUAUGUAUUAUUUUCCCUUAAUUGCCUCUGAGGCUGGUGGAUGCCAGCCAGGGAGGGUCUUAGAUCACAUCAGGGAGCCAUCUGCAAAUCUUCGUGCAGGGGGUGGUGGCCUGAGGGCAGCUUUCCUGAGGGGAGCUAAUCCCAGGCAGGCUCUGUAGCUCCUCAGGGGAGCUGGGUGGGGGUGGAGUGCCUCCCCCCAUCCCCAGCCUGUCUUAGAUUCGGGCCUUUAAUUUGGAUGGUGGUUGGCUAGAGGCCCGAAACCUUGAAUGCUGGAGGCUGCUGAGUCUUGUCCACCCCCCUCACGUAGGGAGGUGAUCCCUGACUUAGCGUGAUGGCUCUGGAGUCCGUGACGGGGAGGUGAAGCCAGGGUAGCUGGCUUUUGGGGAGCCACUCUGGUGACCUGGUUAUUCUAUGUGACAGAGGCAAGCCUAAGCCAUUCCUAAAGCCCUCACCUUUCCGAGAGCCCUGGGGCCAGGCCCCCACAGCUCUCACCUGGCUUCCCUCAGUCAAGGUCAAGUUGAAUGAAAGAACAUGGAAGGGCUUUGAGGUCCUUAAAGGCCCAGGCAAAUCCAGGUGUCUGCUGGGGCCCUGUACUAGGCCCUGUACUAGGGGGCCCACACCUGGCUGCUCAUCUACUGCCCCCUGCGGCCACCCCUUAGCGCGGUGGUGAGGGAAACUACAGCUUAGGGUGCCCAAGGCCACUCGGAGUGACACAGGCCUACCCAGCUCCAGGCUUCCCACUCUCCACCGGACGCCAAUACUGCUGUGAAGACCAGAGAGACACCCUUAUUCCCUUGGUCUGGCCUGUUGUUCCAGGAUGGGGACUCUGGAGCUAGGCCCCGGGGGACAAACCGCGCUCUCUUCGUGUGACCUCAAGCAAGUUACUCAACAGUCCUGGCCUUGGCCUCAUCACUUGUGACUGAUCGAGCAGCAGCACCUGCCUCCGAGCGCUCCUGGAGGACAGGGCAGCCUUGUUAGUGUUUCCAUGUCACCACGGCGGAAUCUGAGGCCCAGGAGACUUGACAGGGCUCCCAGACCCAGAAAAAGGGAGCCAGAACAAGAGAUCCCAGAACACGGGAAAGACGGCUGUGGCUGAAGUCGUAUCUGGGUUAAAACCCCAGGAGUGCUCCUCUUUAAUUUUUUGGUACAGCAGGAUCAAGGAAUCGAUUCACUCUGGUUAUGCUUCCUCCCAUUGUUUCUGUGGGCCGUGUUUGAUCUGUGUUUCACGUGUAGAUCUGCUAUCCACGCUCUGAAAGAAAUAAUAUAUUCUGCGUUGCACUGGG